AAGACCCAGUUAUUAAGAGACUGGAUGGGGGGAGAGGCCCUCGCAAUGGCCCUUAUGCACCCCUACAGCCAUGUUAGGAAUAGGAGGAGAACCUCGUCCUAACAUGAGCAAAGUCGAAGAUCCGGUUAUUAAGAGAUCGGAUGGGGGGAGAGGCCCUCGCAAUGACCCUUAUGUGCCCCCACAGUCCUGUUAGAAACAGGAGGAAAAUCUCAUCCUAACAUGAGCUGAAAUUGACUGUGUCGGAAACAGGAGG
This 253-nucleotide long non-coding RNA is filed under the name Elaeis guineensis (African oil palm). RNAcentral's name for it is "long non-coding RNA (EGUI_LNC062724)". The record is from RNAcentral. Lineage: Eukaryota; Viridiplantae; Streptophyta; Magnoliopsida; Arecales; Arecaceae.